Molecule: long non-coding RNA, 891 nt
Organism: Girardinichthys multiradiatus
Lineage: Eukaryota; Metazoa; Chordata; Actinopteri; Cyprinodontiformes; Goodeidae
Exons: 2
Source: RefSeq, a predicted model, not a curated record
GGGCUAAAGGCAUGUGUGAGUGGAGGAACGAAAGGACAAGAAGAAAAAAACCUGAACAGAUAAGAAACUUUUCCACUGCCGGAACAAGUUGUCCUUAGUGUUUCUCUUCUUGGUUGCGUCUGGCGUCUACAGAAUGUAUCAAAUAGGAGAUAACUGUGUGCUCCCAUGACUGCAAACAGAAGAGAGAGGAGAACUGCUGAGUGAGCGCAGACAACAGCUAUUCUGUCUCUGCUAAACAUCUUCAAGGUCUUUGUUGAGAGAUAAAUGGCCAACAGAAGGUGCUUUCCCAGAACAGACCCAUCUGGAUGCUCAAGGGGUAAGUUCUCUGCACACCAUUUGCUAUUCAUUUUAAUAGAAAUUACAUGUUGCAAACUUGGAAAACUUUUCCCUAAUUUUUCAUCAAUGUUUUAUUUCAAAGAUGGAUUAUGCACAUUAUAUUGUCAAAGACGUCAAGCAGACCAGGUAUUUUAAGCUUUUUGUUCUGUUUAACACAUAAUCUUUUUCUUUAUGUCGGCUUUUUAGGUUUCUGCAUGUUGCAGCAUGGCAGCAGGGCUUGUUGUACUCGCUGUUCCUUUUUCCUAUGCAUAUACUUCUUUGAGAUGUAACUUUAAAGAGGCAUAAGGCAUGGGAAAAUGGGGCUGCAGAGGUAUUCCACCUAGCUGAGCUCAACCUCUUCUCCAUAAGACAGCAGACGUUAAUUCUGCAGUGAGUUGCAUCCAGCCUGACUUGGAGUCUGUAAUUUGUUGAUUCUAAAAACUGCUUUUAUAUUUAAAAAUCAACUUUUUGGAUAUGGAGUGAACAAAUGGUUUUGAAUAAUCAUUCAUCUUGUCUUGUUUGUCUCUGACGUUGUUGCUUUAUUUUUUAUUUUAAAUAAAAGUCUGUGUCUUUAAA